AAGGAGCCAGCGGCCGAAGGUGGGAUUAGUGAUUGGGGUGAAGUCGUAACAAGGUAGCCGUAGGAGAACCUGCGGCUGGAUCACCUCCUUU
RNAcentral lists this ribosomal RNA (91 nucleotides) under Veillonella sp. Its description in RNAcentral is "partial 16S ribosomal RNA". It matches the Rfam family "Bacterial small subunit ribosomal RNA", at positions 1443 to 1533 of the family's 1533-position model. Lineage: Bacteria; Bacillati; Bacillota; Negativicutes; Veillonellales; Veillonellaceae. The record is from RNAcentral.